Molecule: long non-coding RNA, 371 nt
Organism: Carassius carassius (crucian carp)
Lineage: Eukaryota; Metazoa; Chordata; Actinopteri; Cypriniformes; Cyprinidae
Exons: 2
Source: RefSeq, a predicted model, not a curated record
CCCAGUCUCUGUGGCGUCCUGAUGGCCGCAGGUUCCAAUGUGUGUGCCAAUUUUCAAGAGUUUUUGAGCAUGUUAAGGCCCCCAAAAACCCCCGGAAGGUUUAAUAAAAAAAAUAAAUAAAUAAUAAUAAUAAUAAUAAGAAGAAGAAGAAAUAUAGCUGCAAGCAGCGAUGGCGGGCUCAAGCCGUCAGUGCAAACGCCACCCCGGUGGCAUCGGGAAAACUGUGCCCAGCGGGCAUAAGCAUUUACAGUAACCCUCUGGCAAUCAAUUUUAAGGGAUACGGCAGUUAAAGGGUUAAUCCGACCCAUCUAGACUUUGAAAUCACAUACACAGAACAAUAUAUAUAACUUUAGUAACACUUUAUUUUAAUA